AGCUGAUUGGGACGCUCAAGCCUGGAGCAGUUUCAGAUCACUUUUUCUUCAAGCAAGAAUGAGUGUUGCUAAAGUGUGAACGAGUGGAAAAGGAAAGGAGCCAAAUCCCUCCAAAGAAUCACAACAGAGGAGGGUCGUCAGAGGAAUAGCAGAGCAUCACUGCAAGUAAUCCUUGGCUUCACACCAUACAAGAGAGAAGGAAGGAAACAGAAAGAAUGAGAAUGUUCAAUGUGAAGAGAACAAUAUAGCACCGAUAGAAAGGAGAGGGCAAAAGAUAGGAGCAACUGAAAUACCCA
RNAcentral lists this long non-coding RNA (296 nucleotides) under Fukomys damarensis (Damara mole-rat). RNAcentral's name for it is "lncRNA (ENSFDAG00000032534.1)". The record is from RNAcentral. Lineage: Eukaryota; Metazoa; Chordata; Mammalia; Rodentia; Bathyergidae.